Molecule: small nuclear RNA, 104 nt
Organism: Heterocephalus glaber (naked mole-rat)
Lineage: Eukaryota; Metazoa; Chordata; Mammalia; Rodentia; Bathyergidae
Source: Ensembl
UUGCUUCAACAGCAGAUAUACUAAAAUUGGAAAGACAUGGAGAAAAAUUAGCAUGGCCCUUGCACAAGGAUAACACCCAUAUCCAAGAAGCAUUCCAUGUUUUU